AAGACAGCUUUGAGUUCAAUUGCCACAUCAGCGGGAGGAUCCUCCGAAUCACCACAGGUCAAGCUGAUGGCAAAGCUGAAAAGAAAAUCAUCUCACUUAUUCACGGCAUGCAGAAUUUCUAAUACUGUGGGGAGAAUAUGGCAUUGACGUCAAUUCGGCAGCCAUGUUAUGAGCAUUGUGCUGUGAUACCCUGGACCAAGAAGAGAUAUAUGAAAAUGCAUGGGUCUUGUCCUGAGGAAGGUCACAACUCACUCUGGGGAGCAAUGUAGAAUGCAGUGGGUAAGAUAAUAAAGGCCUCAGAUCUACAACCUGAGCACUGAGCGGGGAGAGUCACUCCCAUUGGGAGGAUUAAGGCAGCUGUCUGGAGGAACUGGCAUAUCUCUGACCACAAGCACGGCAGCCCCUUCCACCAUCCCACCAAAGCAAGUCUGCAAAGACUGCACAGCAGCUCUAUUCGUGGCCCGAAUUCUAAACGCACUCCGCCUGGUCUGGUCACCAGCUGAACCCCUGUUUCCAGAGGCUGGUUUUGUCUCCUGCCCUGGUCCGGGUAGAUAUGUGCCUUCUUCCUUUACACUGUGACUGUGGGCCCGGAUCCCUGAGGCCUGCCUUUGACUUUCAGACCACUUGUUUUCUGCGUAUAUAUACACAUUGGCAGCAGCAGGGUUUCUCGUCCUCAGUGCUAUUGAUAUUUUAGGCUGAGAAAUUCUUUGUGGUAGGGAGCUGUCCUGUGCAUUGUAGGAUGUUGAGCACUAGAUGCCAGUAGCUGCUCCCCGGAAAUGGUGACAGCCAAAAAUUCCUCAGACAUUGACAAGUGUCAAAUGUCCCUGACUGGGGUGGGGAAAACUUGCCCCCAGUGGAGAACCAGUUAUCUAAAAGGUGCUUUAAGAUUCCUGUUACUCAUAUAUAUGAUAUGAAAUCCAUCUGAUCUAAUCUGGAGUAGAAACUUGCACAUCAGAAACAUUUGCCUUUUUAUUUGGCAAGUCAUUGCUUCCUGAUAUUAUGGGAGCACUUUACAAAUGGUUCCACAGAGAACCCCCUACAACGAAGGAGGACCUGUGAGGACCCCUGUGGAUGUAGCUGGCAGCUCAAAAUGUCUGUAAUAUUGAGAAAUUUGUGUGACUUUUGCACUCUGUUCAACAGUAUCGCCAUGUUUAUUUUUGAUAUAAACAUAAUGUGCUCCCCACACCCAUAAAUACAGCAAAAUUAAAGCAUCUAAAUGUU
Molecule: long non-coding RNA, 1221 nt
Organism: Aethalodelphis obliquidens (Pacific white-sided dolphin)
Lineage: Eukaryota; Metazoa; Chordata; Mammalia; Artiodactyla; Delphinidae
Exons: 2
Source: RefSeq, a predicted model, not a curated record